GACCUUGUAGCUCAGUUGGUAGAGCAUUGGACUGGUAUCCCAAAGGUAGCGGUUUCAAUUCCCCCCGUGGUCA
Molecule: non-coding RNA, 73 nt
Organism: Paramuricea clavata
Lineage: Eukaryota; Metazoa; Cnidaria; Anthozoa; Malacalcyonacea; Plexauridae
Source: the annotation of a GenBank genome assembly